GACGAACGCUGGCGGCGUGCCUAAUACAUGCAAGUCGAACGCAGUGGGGACGGGUGAGUAACACGUGGGUAACCUCCCAUCAGAGGGGAUAACCCUUGGAAACAGGUGCUAAACCGAUACUGAUGUAUGUACCCGCGGUGCAUUAGCUAGUUGGGGAGGUAACGGCUCACCAAGGCCACGAUGCAUAGCCGGCCGGAGAGGGUGAUCAGCAACACUGGGACGGAGACACGGCCCAGACGCCUACGGGAGGCAGCAGUGGGGAAUAUUGGGCAAUGGACGAAAGUCUGACUGAGCCACGCCGCGUGAGUGAAGAAGGUUUUCGGGUCGUAAAGCACUGUUGUCAGGGAAGCGGUAUCUAACGAGAAAGCCACGGCUAACUACGUGCCAGCCGCCGCGGUAAUUC
This 403-nucleotide ribosomal RNA is filed under the name uncultured bacterium. Its description in RNAcentral is "partial 16S ribosomal RNA". It matches the Rfam family "Bacterial small subunit ribosomal RNA", at positions 28 to 526 of the family's 1533-position model. The record is from RNAcentral.